AAAAUAUGAAGAAGUCCUUGGUUGUCGUGUUUUACUUUGUCUUCCUCUUUGUUGUCGCUUCAGGUAAUUUUUCCUUUUUACUAGUAGAAGAUCCAUUUAGUUCUUUAUUUAAAUCUGACAAACAAUUAAUUCCUUAAUUUAUUUUAAUUACAACGUUUUUAGGAUCCUAGGAAAUGAUUAUUUUUUAGAAUUCUCUAUUAACUUACUAUUGUUUCUUCUAGAUUAACUUCGAUGCAAAAAAUGUGUUUGCAUUAUUUCCAAUACAAUUUCAUAAGAAGUAUCUCACGUAUUUUUACUCAUGUAACGUACUAUAUACAUAUAUUAUCGGUCUCAUCGUGGUGUCUAAUAUAAUCUAAAUAAAACGCUUCUAAAUUAAUUCAUCUUCACAUUAAUACAAAUAUCUACUAAUUGAUUACAAACUUUAAUGUAUCUUUAGGCUUGGAGCUUCAGGCUGAAGUUAAAAAACCAGGUUAUGGCGAUCCCUGCGGCAAAACCGAAGAUUGUCCUCCUUGUGCAUGCGACGUUCCAGGGUUUUGUAUAUGUUGUUUUUGCAUAUUUAAAAAAUGUGUAUGUUUCAGGCCUCCAAGUACAAACUAAAUUUCAGGCCUCCAAUUUCAUCUUAUGUAAUAGAAGGUCAUUGUUGCCUUCAUAUGCCUAAAUAAAUUAGGCAUUAUAAAUGCCCGUUAUUUAAAAAAACUCAGUUUUAAUAGAGGUGGUGGUUGAAAAUAAUGUCGGUCACUUGAUUUUUUGAGUUCAAAUUAUUUGAACAUGCCCCC
This 776-nucleotide long non-coding RNA is filed under the name Lupinus angustifolius (narrow-leaved blue lupine). RNAcentral's name for it is "long non-coding RNA (LANG_LNC002629)". The record is from RNAcentral. Lineage: Eukaryota; Viridiplantae; Streptophyta; Magnoliopsida; Fabales; Fabaceae.